This is a long non-coding RNA of Biomphalaria glabrata, 692 nucleotides long. RefSeq lists it as uncharacterized. The transcript has 3 exons. NCBI's taxonomy places the organism in Eukaryota, Metazoa, Mollusca, Gastropoda, Planorbidae. The record is from RefSeq and is a predicted model, not a curated record.
CUAUAUAUUACAUGGACUGCCAACUCUACGCACUAAGCCUAUAUUUUUCAAUAAACAAGUCCCGUUCACGGAGGCGUCCUUGGUUGCGUGGUAAAUUGACUUCCGGUAGAUUUUCUUUUACGUAUAAAGAAACCAUUCUCGAAGAUUUUUACCACCACUUUUACUGCAAAUCAUGAAUGGAAACUGAAUUGUUAAAGAAGAUGUUACAGAGGAGCAUACUACUUCCACAAACCUGAUUUGAUUGUCACUAACUUUCAAAUUGAAAGGGAUCUAUUACAACUGCUCAUGAAUUUCGAGAUUUUACAGCUAAUAGAGGAACAAAUUUUAUCUGCUUCCACUUAAGACAAACAGCAUGGAAAUGUGCUAUUGUAAUGAGUAAAAGAUAUUUGUCAUUUAGAGUAUCAUGCAACAGCUAAUUAUCAGUCCACACAUUUCAAGAAGAGGAAAAGAACAGUAUAAGCUACAUUCAUUGAUGCAUUAUUUAUGAAGGGAUGAAAUUUCAGAUAAUAUUCUGUUUAUUUCAUGAAAUGAGAAUAGGCCUACAUCAGAAAUUGAAAUGGUCAUCUUCAGUAUUUAAUGUUUCAUCUAAAAAUGAUAAUUAUAUUAAUACAUAUUUGAUGUACAAACAAAUGAAAACCAUUCAAACACUUUUUUUGUGUGAAGUAUAGAUGAUUAAACUUGUAAGUGUCUGA